Molecule: non-coding RNA, 8906 nt
Organism: Zonotrichia albicollis (white-throated sparrow)
Lineage: Eukaryota; Metazoa; Chordata; Aves; Passeriformes; Passerellidae
Source: RefSeq, a predicted model, not a curated record
UCCUGUGCCCCUCCUGUGCCCCUCCUGUGCCCCUGCCCUCCGCUGCUCCGCGUUCCAGGGGCUCCAUCCCGCGCUGCUCCAGCUGCCACCUGCAGCUCUGCCCCGGCUUCCCAAGAGUUACCCUGCAGAGAAGGGACAGGCCUGUUGGGCAAGGGACUCGCUCCUUGACUGAAAAGAGGAAUUGUUCCCUGAACUACCUGGAGUGGUGCUUUUCUGCAGAAGUGUUGGUGUGGCCACCAGCCAGUGUGGGAGCUCGCAGGGCCACUGACCUCAGUGCAGCUCAGGGCCAGCACUUCUGGCUUUUAGCUGCACAUCAUUGCCUUGGAACAAAGAAACAGGUUUCUUUUCACUUUGUCAUAACUAAAUGAUAGAUAAGGUUUUUCUCAAACCUAAAUCAAAACCUACUUUUAUUGGGGAUUGAACAAGAAAAAUUUCUGCUGCAGAAGAGAGGGCAUUGUUUUGCAAAGCUGUUAACAUUUGAGAGAAAGCUAGCAUCAGACUCAGCUAGCACAUAUGGAGCAUUUCACAGACAUGACCCCAGACUAUUUGUCAGCAUUUAGUUUCCUGAAGCUUGCAGUUGAAUAGAUGGCUGGGCAAUGUUACACUCAAACAUUCAUUCAACACAAGAGGCCCUAUCUCUUGUGGCAUGAUUUUGAAAUGGGCUCGUAAUAACUGUGAUGAAUCAAAUAAAGGAGUACAUGCUGUAGUUAUUUGGUAAAUAUAUGUCCUGGUGAAUCCAUGGGAGUAAAACUGUUCUCAUUCUUCUAUGAUAUUUCAAAAGUGCAGCAGCUUGUGUCCUCAGCUGAGAGGAUGUUUGAAAAAUACUGUUUGGGAUCAUAGAUGGGUGGCUGCCUCCUUAGCUGAGGUGAAAACCCAUUCUGGGUUAUCAGCUAUGCCUACCUAGUCAACCCACUUGCUCGAAAAACUGUUUCUUCAUUUUUCCACUGUAUCUCCUUUACGAAAAUUGUGAAAACUGUGUAUUGGUAUCAUUGAAAGAAAUUUGGGUGUCUCUGUAGAAGGCAACCAGUAAACAACUUGUCUGUGCUCAGAUCAGAAUUUAACCCAGCUCCUGUGAGAAUUGUUAAAAGCAAAAAUUGAGGAAGUUUUCUUGCAAAGUGUUUUUGAUGAAUAUUUUGUAAGAUUUUUUUGUUAAUAACUCUUAUCUCCCAGCUGGGCAGAAUAUGGCUGAUAAUCUUAGGUAUCUGAUAAAGCAGCAGGAAGAAGUGCAUUUUGCUAAAGAGUAAAUCUGAAUUCCUGUUCAACUUACUUUUAUCACUUUUGUCCUUAGAGAUGUCCUCCAUGUGUACUUUAAAAGCUUUCACUAGGGAACAUAAAUUUCAAAUCCCACCUAUCUCUGUGAGCAGUCAGGAAUACUAACUAAUUUCUUACAUCUUUUGUCUGUGGGCGUUGUUAAUUAGGGGUAUUCACAGUGACUGGUAACUACGAAAAUAGCUAAACAAACUUCUUCCUAAUGUUUGUCCUUAUGUGUUUGUCUGUCACUAAAUGUAAUGGGCCAUUUCUGUGGGCUCAUUAUGCUGAUAGUACAUUUUGUUUUCUCUUUACCCUAUUGUGAUUAAGGAAGCAUAACCAGAGCGGCCCAGAAUAAUUGGAAACUCUUCAGCUGGCUUCUCCACCUGUAAUUGCAUGGUCUGUAGCGGGCUGAUGUAGGUGUAAAUGUAGACUCAUUUGUCCAUUACUGAAGGAUUUCUCAAAACAAAGGCAAAGAAGUGUUAUAUAAAAGAUGGCCUCAAGUAUAUUCAGGAUUGAAAAGCAGGGAAAACAGUCUUGCUCCUCUAUGCUGACUCUUACUGAAACUGCUGUGGCACAGGUAAAGUGUGUGAUUACAGGACUGCUCCAGAGAGGAUUAUGCAGCCACUUGUACUUGGUGUUGUUCAGUGUUUUCUGUUCCCACUCCUGGCCCUGCACAGCACCCCACAGGAGCCACACCAUGUGCCUGACAGCAUUGUCUUCCUUCAACUCAGUCAGGCUUGGUGCUGUGAACACUUCCCUGGGGAGUCGGUUCCAGUGCUCAACCACCCUCUGGGUAAACACUUUUCUUGAUACCUAAGCCUCCCCUGACUCAGUUUCAUGCUGUUCCCUUGGGUCCUGUCACUGGUCCCAAGAGUGAGGAGACGGAUGUUUGGCCCUCACGUUUCCCUUGUGAGGGUGUUGAAGACCACAGUGAGGUUUCUCUGCUUUGGUGUCUUGUGCCUUGAUUCUGCCUUGAUUUUGAUGCAGCUCAACAGACAAAAUUCUCUUUUUAUCACCCACUUUUCUUUGGGAUGUGUUGGCUCCUGCUAGGAUAGGAAUGGAGUGCAAUACUGAUAGAAAUCAACUUUGUGAAGCAAUAAACAGAAAAUAUGUUCUAUCACUAUGCCCAAGGGAAUCAUAUCAAACCUUAGUUAUCCAUGUGUUCGAGGCCAAGCCUUAAGGAAAAAGAGGGUACAUGAAUAUAUGGUAUAAAAAUAUAGAUUGCUUCUCUUCACUCUCCAUCUGUGGACCUUCAAGAGCUCUAUAAACACAAGCUCACUGAGCAGCUGUGUACCCCAAGGAGGCAGAUAACACAGUCAUAAAAUAUGCCAAGCAAUUUAAGGGUCCAAAUCUUGAUACAUACCACAGGGUUGUAAGAAUUAAAUAGAGUAGUUUUAACAGAGACACACUCUUCUGGGAGAUUUUUCUUAUAGAAGCAGUAUAAGAUCAAACACCCCUUUUGAUCAUUUUCCAGACUUUGGAGGUGCUUAGUCUUUGAGCAGAAUCAGAAGAGAUUGCUAUAUAAAUAAUGUGAACCAAGACCUCUGGAGGAAGGUGUUUGGUUCAUCUAGGUGGCUGGAAACAACAGGGAUUCUCCUGAGCUUGUUUUAACUCUUGUGUAGGGCUCCCUCAGCACACUGAAAAACUUUUCUCACUUUUAGCAAUCUCCUUUCAGCAUUAUUUUAAUCUGAAAGAUCUCUUGAACAAAAGUGAUUUUAAAGCAGUCUGCAAUUUUUGAUUCCAUUUAUUUCCUGGCUACUCUGAUAUCAAAGGCAGCAGGAAGCAAAAGUGAAAAGAAAUGCAGUAAAGCAGCUGUAGGACCAGCUGUUGUGGGAUCACACAGGAGCCCUGCUUUGCUGUGUGACCAAGUGCUCCAUGUGGGGCUCCCUUCCAUGGCACAGCCAGGGUCUGUCUCCACUGGCACUCUGUCUGUCCAUCAAGGAAGCAGGUGUGCUCAGAUUCAUUCUCCUCAUGUGGAAAAAGGGCAGGAAACAUGAAAAUUGAUGCAAACAUCAGUAAUGCUUCGUCCUGCUGCCUGGGAGAAAAGGAGUGACUUCCUGACACUCUCAGGAAAGUGGGGCAGGAGCUGCUGGAGGGGCAGGUGGUGUCUGGCUAAACGCUCUUGGGUGCACAGAGGAAGACAGGGAAUCCUGCCUGGAUUGCAGAGUGAAGCCUCCCCAUAGGGAAUGGUUCAAGGUGAGAGGAGGACAAAUGAUCUAAGUGCACAAAUUUUCAAUUUAUUCUUUAAAAACCUUUCUUGCCAGAUGUAAUGAAGAGUAAUGCCACAAAACAGAGGAUGAAAAUAAUUUCUUCUUUGUCUCUUGUGUAUGCGGUAACAAUGUAACCAAGAGCUACCCCACUUUUAAUGAGAACUUCACUGCUUUGUUAUUCUUUCUCACUCUUCCUUUGUGUUUUUCUUUGAAUAAAACAAUUUCCCUGUCUGUAUAGCUCAGAGUGUGUGUACUUUGCAAAGAUGCUGCCAUCUGCCAUUUACUUUCCUUUCUGAACUGUGAUCUUAGACAUAUAUUUCAGGGAAAAGGAAGUCAAGUGGUUGAGUUUAUUCUCCUUUUGUGUGAACAACAAUGCAAAUAAUUCCAGAGGCAGGCAGUAAGGCUGCCUGAAAUGCCAACUGCAAAUCUCCUUUUCAGCAAGGCAUUAAUUCAUUCUGUGAAAAAUAUGCUGGGUAAAAAACUCCAUUUCAAUUCCUCCUCCUGUGCCCUGGCUGGAUCAAUUAAACUCCAUAUAGCAAUUUUUGAGAUAAAGUCAAAUAAUUUUGUACAUUUUCUAACCCUUAUUCCAGAUCAUUUUCCUCUCAGUCUCCUGCUACAGGUGCCUCCUGCAGCAGACAGGGGAGCAGUGGUGGAUGCUGCUGGACACAUGGCAGGGCCAAGGCUGCCUGUCCUUGGGUCACCCUGGCCUGCCACGAGGAAGUUUCUCAUCUCCAGCCAGGACAUGGCCCUCUCAGAACCCAGGACCCCUCAGGGGGUGAAGGGGAUUAAUGGUCCCCUCCUUAACAGGGAAAAUGAGAGGGGCUCAUCUUGCUCCUCAACUGCUUGUGCCUUGUUUUUGGAGGUGAGUGCUGCAGGAGCUGACAAAAAAACUACAUGAGAUCAAGAUGAAAAACAUUUCUUUGCAUCUGGGAAACUAGAGCCAGUGUGUCUGUAAGCUGGCAGUGCCAAAAAAAAAAUACCCCUGCAUUCAUUAAUGCUUCAUGAUGAUUUUUAGCCUGAUCAGUUCCCUGGCCAGAUGUGCCUCAUGGUCACACAAAAGCCUGGACCAGCACAGCCAAGGGGCAUCAUCACUUUGAAAUGAGAGGAUGAGGCAAAAUGGGGCAGACCUGUCUUCAUGACCACACUCCUGUCUUAAAUGAGUGAGAACUGAGGCCUUAUUAGAGAACUGAGGGCUCCCCUUAUUCCCUUGGGAACUGUAGCAAUAGCCCCAAGAUUUCCUUACACAACAGUAAGACCAAGCACUCAGCUAUUUCCUCCUCUUGCAUCAACUGCAAACAAGUAAAAAACCAAAAAGCUUUUGCCUGCCUAUCAAAUAUUUAUGUUUAAAUUUCAGUAUCUACUGGAAAGUUUUGGAAAACAAUUCAAGGACUUGUCAAGAAAUAAGAAAAAUACUCUCCCUUUAAACUUUAUUUUUUGUUUUCACAAUACCAAAUAAACUGUUGGAUCCUUUAACUCUCCUGAGAUCACUCUGAAGUUCAACUGGAAACCUAAUUGGAUUUUAACAGGAAAUCUGAUCGUGCAUCUAGCAGCUUUAAAUGGCAUGAAUAGAAUAGCAUUUGAGAAUAUGCUGCUAUUUUGAAGAUGGAUGUGAUUUUCUGAUUUUGACAGAAAAUGAAAACACAGUGAGAGGCUGUCACAAGCUUCUGAAUCAGCCAGAUUCUUCUUAGAAGCCAAAGACAGCUUGGCUGAGGUAGGAUAUUCUCCCACACGUGUCUUUGCCAAAACAGAGAGUGUGCCGAGGCUUUUUUGCUGUUGUUUUUUUCCUCCAGAUGGUGUAAGGAGGGAUAGACUGCUGGUUGCUUGCCAAGGGUUGUACAAUAUUGUGGCAAAAUGCAAUCCCAAGCUGCAGUUUUGAAGGUAGCAUAUCAAUCACUUACUCAUCAGGUUCCUAUAGUUCUUGCAUGUGGGGUCAAACCUUUGUCAUUGGGCCAAGGCUAUUAACAAGUUUAGUCCAAAUGUUUUGAGAGAGACAAAAUUUGGUAUGGUUUUCUCUCCAAAUGUUGAUUAAAGUGUCCACUGCUAGGAAGGUAAGAGCCAAUAUGCAGCUAAUCCUUUAUAAAAAUCUCUAUCUCAAACCUAAAUUGCUAAAUCCCUCAGGUCAGCUAAAAAUAAUAAUGCUUUGGGUUUGCCUGUGAUUUUUCUCCAUAUACAUCCAAAGUAAAAGCUAGAAGUUACUUGGUGUCACAAAUUAUUUACCUUUAUAUGGUUAUGGUUUGAAACAGAUUGAGUUUUUGAAGUUUUAGAAAAUUUCUUGCACUUAAAUGAAGUUAUAACAAUAAAUAGAGCUAAAGAUGAAGAUUUUUUACUAAAAGGUGUGCAGUUUUCCACCAGAUUGAUAUGUACAUCUUCCUCCUGUUGACAUGUGUUUUCAAAAUAAACCUGAUAUUAAUUGCACCUUCACUGGGUAACACAGUGGCAGAAUGAUCCACCUUCUGGCUGUCAGGGCUUUGAGUGGGAUUAAACACUUCUAGGAAAAAAAUUAGCCCCUGAGAGUAGCACAUACACACUAUUUAGCCACUGUACUUGGGAAAACUUCCAAUCCAGGCAGGGUUAGUGACCAAAACAGUCGGGGAAGUCAAUCUGCCUCGUCAUCUUUCAGGUGUAACUUUAUUUUAUAUAAACUGGUCUUGUUCUAGGUGAUCAUUUGGCCUUGCAGUAAUCUAAGAUGCCCAAGGUAAUGGUGACUUAAAAUAAGUGCACUGGCAUUUAUGAACAUAAAAGAAAUUUUAAUAUGGCAACAUGUUGCCAUUUUAAUAAACUACUACAAGUAGUCUCUCCCUUGUAACAGGAGAGGGCAGGGUUGGUGUUGGAUAACAAUUUUUAAAGACUUCAGAAUGACAGCGUGUAUGAAAAACACUUGUAAGAAGAUUGCUUUGCAAUGAGUUAUAAAACAUAGGAAAAAGUUCUCCAAAAACCAAGAUCAGUUUUUAAAAGUGACUUGACAAGCUAAGUAAGCUUGCUCUCUAAUUUAGGCUGUUUUGAAGAAGCAUGGAUGGGAUUUUUAGUGUCUUAGUGAUAUGACAACAGACAAAAAUCUACAAUCACUCUUUGGGUGCCCAGUGCGCUGUAUCUGGACCACCAUAAGUAUUUUCUUCCUCAAGUAAUAACAGAUUAUCAUCCUGGCUGGCAGGAAAUAACCUGUAAAUUAUAUCUAUAUCUAGCACAUAUGGAAGAAAAGCUGUCAGAUAGUAUCAUACAUGAAAAAUCAGUUGCCUUGCUCUACUAACUAAAAGUUUAGCCAUAACAUUUUUUAAUUUGAGAAAUGAUGAAACCAGCAGUAGCAAGAAUAACAUUGCUGAUUUCCAAAAGUAAAUAUAUUAGAUUGAGAGGUAGGUCAUUUGUCAGCCACCCCUGUAGAUAAAAAUGACAAAGACAUUUGCUCAAUAUCACAAAGCCAGAGACUGCAGCACAGUAUUCCAUGUCAGUAUAUAAGACCAUGUAUUCCAAGGCAUCUACCUCUUUUUCUGUAUACCUCUAGAGUCACUGAAGAAGGUCUCAAAAAUCAGCAUGCUCCAGCAUCUCAAGUUCUGGGGGGAGAGAGAGGUUGCAGGGAGUUGUCUUUAUACAGCUGGAUCUGUGUCCUUGAAUGCCAGUCAUAAAUUAGACUCCUAUUGAAUAACAGUGCCCCAUGGCACCUGCUGUUAACAACUGCCCUUCAGAGGGACUGAGCAAUCUUCUGCAGGAUGGAUUAGGCAUUUUACAGUGCUCAUAAGAAACCAAUCUGAAAAAUAGGUCCCAAACCAAUUAAAUCAUCUCUGCUGGUGGAUCUCUAAGUUUUUAAAAACCUGCUGUGUGAAGUUCCUUUUGCAGUAUGUUUUAGAAAUUAGUUUAGCUAUAACUUUAGGUGAUAGAUGCAGAAAAGAAAUGUAGUGGGCCAUUUCAAUUCUACCUUUCUACUUUCUUUGGCAGUUGAUCUUGAGUGCCCACAGAGCCUAUUAAACUCAUUUUGCUAUAGCUUUACUGUUGACAUUUGAGAUUAAAUGCUUGGGUAUGAAGGAAAUUUUUUUAAGGACUAUCAUUUUUUGUUUCAAUACAGCAUUGUCAGGACCACAGGACUGUAACAGCCUGCUGUAGCGUGUUAUUUCAAUCAUUUCUUCUUGCCUAGGGAAAAUAUUUCUGAUUAGUGUAGUUACUGUCCCUUUGUUACAAAGUUUGUACAAAAUUCAGCAGUGUUACUGCAACUGAACUUAAGAGGAGCUGUGAAUGCUUGGCCAUGGCUUUUCCUGUGGACAGUACUCGUUUAUCUCCUCUUGUCUGAUAAGCUACAAACCAGGAUAACUCCUUUCCCAGAGCAGUUGUGAAUCCUGGUGCUACAAUGAAAGAUUUUUCAGUCCCAAAACAAUGGUAUUCUCAGCCACCCAGUUGUCCUUCAGUCUGAAAGAGAUGGAGGCUGGACUCCUGGCGUGUGGGGGGAUAGAAAGUAAGAGAACAGAGAGAGUGCAGAAGGCAAUCUCACCCCUGAGGAGUUGCAGCUGCACUAAUCACCAAAGAUUGGGAACAGGCCUGCCCUUAAUAGGCCACAGCUGUGUCCAAUAAGGAUGGGUGCUAUAAAAAGGGUGGGUUAGCUGCUUGAGGAAAGAGUUGGAGUUGGUUUUGCUGUGAGGAGGUGCCCAUGAGAAAUCACUGGGAAGAUUUGCUCAUGCAUGUUCUACCUGUCUCGCUUGGAGCUAUGGGACACAAUGGUCACUGAUGUCCUACUUUUUCUGUGAACAUCACCUAAAGGACGCAGUGAGGAGAAGGACACUUGACUGGCAAAACACCUUUCAGGUCCUCAGGCACCACUUCAGAUGGGAAAGUCUAAAGCAUCAGGAGCACAAGUGCCAGAUUCUGCUCCCAGUCAUGCUGGAAUCAUGCAGUUCACUGGAUGGAGAUAUCCCACUUGCAACAGGAUCACUAAAAGCUCUCUCAGGACUUGCUUUUGUGAGGGCUCACUAACAUUCAGUCACUGCAGUCAGUAAAGGCAGUAGUGCCAUGGAGCUGCAGGACAGAGCCUCCUGUGGCACCAAAGAGCCACCUGGUCUCAAACUGCCUCGGUGCUGCAGAUUCAAGCACUGCACAACUGAGGAUUGCUUUGGUACUUGGUUAAUCCUGACACACAGUUUACAUGCACUGGCCCUGACAGGAAAUUGCAGCAUGAUUUGGUACCUGCCAUUUUGGUGCCUCGCGUAACAUCUCUAAACAUGAAAAUCCACACAACUUUGAUAUUUUAAAGAAACAUAAACAUCUGGCUUUGGAACUGAGACUGGUCCAAUGGUUAAAGCAAGACUCAGGAUGUAAAAAGAAAGACUUUGAAUAGUUUCUCUUGAGAGGUAAAAGUACAGUAAUUGCUAGUAAAAAGAAGCAGAGGAAGGCAUAUAGUUAUAAAGACAGAGCUUAAGAGGUAAAUGUUUUCAGACGUUGAUCUUGGUUUACUGCUAGCACCAU